Molecule: unclassified non-coding RNA, 343 nt
Filed under: soil metagenome
Description: partial contains 5.8S ribosomal RNA, internal transcribed spacer 2, and large subunit ribosomal RNA
Rfam family: 5.8S ribosomal RNA (bases 1-120)
Source: RNAcentral
GAUGAAGAACGUAGCGAAAUGCGAUAAGUAAUGUGAAUUGCAGAAUUCAGUGAAUCAUCGAAUCUUUGAACGCACAUUGCGCCCGCUAGUAUUCUGGCGGGCAUGCCUGUCCGAGCGUCAUUUCAACCCUCAAGCCCCCGGGCUUGGUGUUGGGGAUCGGCGAGCCUCCGCGCCCGCCGUCCCCUAAAUCUAGUGGCGGUCUCGCUGUAGCUUCCUCUGCGUAGUAGCACACCUCGCACUGGGAAACAGCGCGGCCACGCCGUCAAACCCCCAACUUCUGAACGUUUGACCUCGGAUCAGGUAGGAAUACCCGCUGAACUUAAGCAUAUCAAUAAGCGGAGGA